RNA transcript from Syngnathus acus (greater pipefish), 1769 nucleotides. It is a transcript of the gene named chromosome 17 C5orf22 homolog, with no coding region annotated. NCBI's taxonomy places the organism in Eukaryota, Metazoa, Chordata, Actinopteri, Syngnathiformes, Syngnathidae. The transcript has 11 exons. The record is from RefSeq and is a predicted model, not a curated record.
AUUGCCAGCCGCCAUUAAACACAAAAGAUGAAGAAAUAAGACGAAAACGAAACUCUGUUGUGAACCGCCGUAAACGCUUCAAGUGCUAUUUUGUCUGUCACUGAUGCGUUUGAUAAGUAUUCAUAUCCCUUAUUCUUUUGUAUCGAGCUAAUAAUGAGUUUUGUUCAACCAGCGCGGUUUUAUAAACAUCUGCCAGUAUGGAUCGUAGAGGACCACCACGAUGUGGUGUGCCAUAUAUAUCGUGCCAUUGCAACAAGACAUCUCCCCAUGAAGAACAUUAAGCUUAUUCAUUUAGACUCCCAUCCAGAUCUACUCAUUCCUGUCAACUUGUGUGCUGAUACAGUUUUUGAAAAGGAUAAAUUGUUUAGUGAGUUGAGUAUAGAAAACUGGAUCAUGCCCAUGGUUUAUGCUGGCCACAUCUCUUGUGUGGCAUGGCUACACCCAUACUGGUCACAGCAAAUCAUGGAAGGGGAACACAAAAUGACUGUUGGCAAAGAUUCAUCCACAACUACCAUUAGGGUGACGAGUAAAGAUCAUUACUUCCUCAGUGAUGGCUUGUAUGUUCCAGAGGAGCAACUUGAAAACCCCAAACCCUUCAAAUUAAAUGUGAUCAAAGUCAAUCCUGUUAAUCAUCAGCAACCUUUUGCAGAAAUGAAAACAGAGGAGGAUUCUGAGACACAGCUUGCCAAGAAACCCAGAAGAGAAUGUCCACAAGUUGGGGACACCAGUUGCUCUCAACUCCUUCCAAGAACUGAUAUACCAGAUGCCAGGCAAGAACAAAGCUGCAGUGUAAAAAGAGAUUGCAACGAUGGAAAUGAAGAAGGAUCCACAAGUUAUGUUAUUGAAAGGAUAUCAACUGUCCUGAAUCAAACAGAGCCGUACAUCCUGGAUAUUGACUUAGAUUUCUUCUCCUGUAAGAAUCCAUUCAAGGAACUAUAUACAGCGGAGGAAUAUACCAUCCUUCAGGAACUCUACAGCUUCAGAGGACCUGCUCCGACUGCUAAUGAGGAGGAACUUAAUGAAUGUGUUGAUCAUCGUAUUCAACAGUUGGAAGACUUAGAAGCAGCAUUUGCUGAUCUGAUAGAAGACGAUCGAGAAGAGGUUGUUUCACGUUGGGUUGGCAAACUUGGAAAGGCGUGUUUUGUCCGCCUGGUUUCCAGUUUGAAGUCACGAAAUCCUCACCCAGAUUAUGAAUUGGUACAUCAGGCAGGUUUAACCUGUGACUCCAUCGAGUUGCCCCAUCAUAUUAGCUCUGAUGAAGAGAUCGACAGACUUGUAUCAGCUGUACAACGGUUUCUGAAGCACCUACCUUUACCUACUCUGGUGACAAUGUCCAGAUCCAGUCUUGAUGAAUACUGCCCUGUAGAACAAGUGGAUUUAGUCCAAUGCAGAAUACUGACUGUAUUAGAAAAGCAGUAUGGACCAUUGGACAUACAAAAGGACUAUGAAAAUACUAAGACGGAGGUUCAGGACCAUCAAGCUCAGACCCCAUAAGGACUCCAGGACUGUGAUCUAAAUUGUGUUUUGUCAAGCACUGUCUGCAUGUAAAUUUCUAUUGUUGCAUGUUAGUUUCUGGUUUAUGCCAAGACUGGUAAAAACAACAUGGGGAGAGCGGUCGCCGUGAAGGAACCGCUUCAAUCCUGCGCGUCAUAGGUUCAAUUCUCUAACGCAGGGGUGUCAAACUCCUUUUUUUUCGCGGGCCGCAUUGUAGUCAUAGCUUCUUUCCGAGAGCCAUUACGACUGUCAACCCAAAUAAAUGUAUGAGCACC